CUCCCACUCUCUGCGAGGCAAGUAAGAGGCACUGCUAGGCAUUUGGUGGCCCCUAGCAGUACUACAGCUUUUCUUCCUCUGUGUUCUUCAGCUAGCUUUUAGUUUUCUCCAGCAUGUCCUUAAAAACCUUCUGGACCUGAGAUAUACAGAAGAAGUUAGAUAUUCUUGAUUUACUGGGUUCUGAGCAACAAAGAGUUAUGAAAUAAGUAUGGCUGCUGGGCAAAAGCCUCGACUGCUCUGGAGCUGAAAUGAAAUAGAGAAAGUACCUUUGUGCUCCCUCUGGUAAUGAAUUCUAUGCCUAUUCCUCAGGACCAGACCUUUUAUCUGCACAGAAGCCUGAGGUAGUAGGAGAUGCUCCAUACACAGCUGUUAGGAAGACCAGAAUGUCAGGCUUCACAUUCCCUGUGCAUGGAUCAAGGACCACAACGAUUUGGUAGCAGCCCUGGCCCUGAUUCUACUCGUAGAUCCCGCCGUGUGCGAUGGGACCCGCCGGCCCCGAUUCCGCCCGCAGAGCGCCCGGCGCUGUCCGUGGUGCUGAAGGCACCGCUCCUAGGAGAGAGCGAGCAAGCAGAGCGUACCUACUGGUAUUUAUCGUGUUAUUGUUAUCGCUGUUAUUAUUUGCAAUUGUAUCACCAUUAUAACUACAUUAAUUCCCCGCAAAUCAGUGUUGAAAUCUUCCCGGAUGAAAGUAAAAAUGUUUUCCUAAGAAUUUCGGGUGUAGCCCAAGUUUUCAUAGUGAAGAUCAUCGUGGCAGCUUCACACUCCUGUGUUAGCGAGUCUUUCUCGCCCUUGUUUGUCACCUGAAAAUUCAGGGCUGCUUAUCAAUAAUGCUCUGUGUGUCAUGCUGCUGCAAAGCAUUCCAAUCGAUAUAUUAUAAUUUCAGAGCUUAUUAGGAAGGUGAAGGGCGUUAUCAAGGACAUCCGGAAAUUCUGAUCAGUGUUCUGCAAUCUCUGAUCAGCGUCAGUGCUUUACAAGCAUAGUCUGUAGAAUGGAAUAAAAUUAAAAUCUCUAGCUCGAGAGGCA
RNAcentral lists this long non-coding RNA (1023 nucleotides) under Phasianus colchicus (ring-necked pheasant). RNAcentral's name for it is "lncRNA (ENSPCLG00000008678.1)". The record is from RNAcentral. Lineage: Eukaryota; Metazoa; Chordata; Aves; Galliformes; Phasianidae.